This 204-nucleotide unclassified non-coding RNA is filed under the name fungal sp. RNAcentral describes it as "partial internal transcribed spacer region". The stretch from base 1 to 46 matches the Rfam family "Eukaryotic small subunit ribosomal RNA", at positions 1786 to 1831 of the family's 1831-position model. The record is from RNAcentral. Lineage: Eukaryota; Fungi.
AAGUCGUAACAAGGUUUCCGUAGGUGAACCUGCGGAAGGAUCAUUAACGAAUUUGGGACUGAAAAGUCACCUAUUCCACACUAUGUUUUAAGUGUUUAUUUUUUGAUGAAUGAAUCAGAAAGACACGAAAACUGUUCAUAUCACAUAUGACAAUUUUAAAUACAAUUAAAAUUAAAACUUUCAACAACGGAUCUCUUGGUUCUG